RNAcentral lists this ribosomal RNA (889 nucleotides) under Cryptosporella pacifica. RNAcentral's name for it is "LSU rRNA". It matches the Rfam family "Eukaryotic large subunit ribosomal RNA", at positions 41 to 961 of the family's 3401-position model. The record is from RNAcentral. Lineage: Eukaryota; Fungi; Ascomycota; Sordariomycetes; Diaporthales; Gnomoniaceae.
UAUCAAUAAGCGGAGGAAAAGAAACCAACAGGGAUUGCCCUAGUAACGGCGAGUGAAGCGGCAACAGCUCAAAUUUGAAAUCUGGCUUCGGCCCGAGUUGUAAUUUGCAGAGGAUGUUUAUGGUGCGGUACCUUCCGAGUUCCCUGGAACGGGACGCCACAGAGGGUGAGAGCCCCGUCUGGUUGGAUACUAAACCUGUGUUAAACUCCUUCAACGAGUCGAGUAGUUUGGGAAUGCUGCUCUAAAUGGGAGGUAAAUCUCUUCUAAAGCUAAAUACCGGCCAGAGACCGAUAGCGCACAAGUAGAGUGAUCGAAAGAUGAAAAGCACCUUGAAAAGGGGGUUAAACAGUACGUGAAAUUGUUGAAAGGGAAGCGUUUAUGACCAGACUUGUGUCGUGUGGCUCAUCCGAGGUUCUCCCCGGUGCACUCCACACGGCUCAGGCCAACAUCGGUUCUCGUUGGGGGAUAAGAACAGUAGGAACGUGGCCCCCCUCGGGGGGUGUUAUAGCCUAUUGUACGAUACUCUGACGGGGACCGAGGACCGCGCUUCGGCUAGGAUGUUGGCGUAAUGGUCAUUAGCGACCCGUCUUGAAACACGGACCAAGGAGUCGUCCAUUAGAGCGAGCGUUUGGGUGUAAAACCCGCACGCGUAAUGAAAGUGAAAUUAGGUGAGAGCUUCGGCGCAUCAUCGACCGAUCCUGAAGUUUACGGAUGGAUUUGAGUAAGAGUUUUAACGGACGGACCCGAAAGACAGUGAACUAUGCUUGAAUAGGGUGAAGCCAGAGGAAACUCUGGUGGAGGCUCGCAGCGGUUCUGACGUGCAAAUCGAUCGUCAAAUUUGAGCAUGGGGGCGAAAGACUAAUCGAACUGUCUAGUAGCUGGUUACCGC